UACGGAGGGUGCGAGCGUUGUUCGGAAUCACUGGGCGUCAAGCGCGUGUAGGCGGCCUUUUAAGUCUGAUGUGAAAGCCCGGGGCUCACCCCCGGAAGUGCAUUGGAAACUGGGAGGCUAGAGUACCGGAGAGGAAGGUGGAAUUCCUGGUGUAGCGGUGAAAUGCGUAGAUAUCGGGAGGAACACCUGAGGCGAAGGCGGGCUACUGGGCCGAUACUGACGCUGAGGCGCGAAAGCCAGGGGAGCAAACGGG
This 253-nucleotide ribosomal RNA is filed under the name uncultured bacterium. Its description in RNAcentral is "partial 16S ribosomal RNA". It matches the Rfam family "Bacterial small subunit ribosomal RNA", at positions 524 to 776 of the family's 1533-position model. The record is from RNAcentral.